Molecule: ribosomal RNA, 253 nt
Filed under: uncultured bacterium
Lineage: Bacteria
Description: partial 16S ribosomal RNA
Rfam family: Bacterial small subunit ribosomal RNA
Source: RNAcentral
UACAGAGGGUGCAAGUGUUGUUCGGAAUUACUGGGCAUAAAGGGUGCGUAGGUGGUUUGUUAAGUCAGGGGUGAAAUCCCGCGGCCCAACCGUGGAACUGCCUUUGAUACUGGCGAACUUGAGUGCGUGAGGGGUAGGGGGAACGAGCAGUGUAGCGGUGAAAUGCGUAGAUAUUGCUCGGAAGGCCAGAGCCGAAGGGGCCCUACUGGUGCGCAACUGACACUGAGGCACGAAAGCGUGGGGAGCAAACAGG